UGCUAUGAAUCGUAAUGGUGAUAUCAGAGUGUGCAUAUCAGAGGAUUAAAUCCGUUGUAUAAUACUGCAUUAUAAGACAGCGAACACAAGAGAAUUCUACUCUUUUAGAUUAGUACAAAAAGUCCAAAACACCUGGUUGUAUUACCCGUGAAGAAGAAUAUGACAUUUGUAUCAAGGACAAGGCCUGUGGA
Pieris napi is the source of this 191-nucleotide long non-coding RNA. RefSeq lists it as uncharacterized. The transcript is spliced from 2 exons. The record is from RefSeq and is a predicted model, not a curated record. NCBI's taxonomy places the organism in Eukaryota, Metazoa, Arthropoda, Insecta, Lepidoptera, Pieridae.